AAACAUUGGUAGGCCAACUACACCCCCUACCCGCCUGGAUACUACGAGCAUUAGCUUGAAAUCCAAAGGACUUGGCGGUGCUUUAGACCCCCCUAGAGGAGCCUGUCCUAGAACCGAUAAUCCCCGUUCAACCUCACCUUUCCUUGUUAAUCCCGCCUAUAUACCGCCGUCGUCAGCUAACCCUGUGAAGGUUUAGUAGUCAGCACAAUUGGUACAGCCAAGAACGUCAGGUCGAGGUGUAGCGUAUGGAAAGGGAAGAAAUGGGCUACAUUCUCUAUAAUAGAGUAUACGGAUGAUGUACUGAAAAAAUACUUCUGAAGGUGGAUUUAGCAGUAAGUGGAAAAUAGAGUGUUCC
Molecule: ribosomal RNA, 355 nt
Filed under: Scorpaena onaria (ornate scorpionfish)
Lineage: Eukaryota; Metazoa; Chordata; Actinopteri; Perciformes; Scorpaenidae
Description: partial 12S ribosomal RNA
Rfam family: Bacterial small subunit ribosomal RNA
Source: RNAcentral